UACGUAGGGGGCAAGCGUUGUCCGGAUUUAUUGGGCGUAAAGCGAGCGCAGGCGGUUCCUUAAGUCUGAUGUGAAAGCCCACGGCUCAACCGUGGAAGGUCAUUGGAAACUGGGGAACUUGAGUGCAGAAGAGGAGAGUGGAAUUCCAUGUAUAGCGGUGAAAUGCGUAGAUAUAUGGAGGAACACCAGUGGCGAAGGCGACUCUCUGGUCUGUAACUGACGCUGAGGCUCGAAAGCGUGGGGAGCAAACAGGAUUAGAUA
RNAcentral lists this ribosomal RNA (261 nucleotides) under uncultured prokaryote. Its description in RNAcentral is "partial 16S ribosomal RNA". It matches the Rfam family "Bacterial small subunit ribosomal RNA", at positions 524 to 784 of the family's 1533-position model. The record is from RNAcentral.